GACGAACGCUGGCGGCGUGCCUAAUACAUGCAAGUUGAGCGCUGAAGGUUGGUACUUGUACCAACUGGAUGAGCAGCGAACGGGUGAGUAUCGCGUGGGGAAUCUGCCUUUUAGCGGGGGACAACAUUUGGAAACGAAUGCUAAUACCGCAUAAAAACUUUAAACACAAGUUUUAAGUUUGAAAGAUGCAAUUGCAUCACUCAAAGAUGAUCCCGCGUUGUAUUAGCUAGUUGGUGAGGUAAAGGCUCACCAAGGCGAUGAUACAUAGCCGACCUGAGAGGGUGAUCGGCCACAUUGGGACUGAGACACGGCCCAAACUCCUACGGGAGGCAGCAGUAGGGAAUCUUCGGCAAUGGACGAAAGUCUGACCGAGCAACGCCGCGUGAGUGAAGAAGGUUUUCGGAUCGUAAAACUCUGUUGGUAGAGAAGAACGUUGGUGAGAGUGGAAAGCUCAUCAAGUGACGGUAACUACCCAGAAAGGGACGGCUAACUACGUG
Molecule: ribosomal RNA, 497 nt
Filed under: uncultured bacterium
Lineage: Bacteria
Description: partial 16S ribosomal RNA
Rfam family: Bacterial small subunit ribosomal RNA
Source: RNAcentral